AUACGGAGGGUGCAAGCGUUACUCGGAAUUACUGGGCGUAAAGGACGCGUAGGCGGUUUAGAAAGUCAGAUGUGAAAGCCUAUGGCUUAACCAUAGAACUGCAUUUGAAACUUCCAAACUAGAGUGGGGGAGAGGUCAGUGGAAUUAGUGGUGUAGGGGUAAAAUCCGUAGAGAUCACUAGGAAUACUCAUUGCGAAGGCGACUGACUGGAACUUAACUGACGCUGAGGCGUGAAAGCGUGGGGAGCGAACAGGAUUAGAUACCCUAGUAGUCC
This 274-nucleotide ribosomal RNA is filed under the name uncultured bacterium. RNAcentral describes it as "partial 16S ribosomal RNA". It matches the Rfam family "Bacterial small subunit ribosomal RNA", at positions 523 to 796 of the family's 1533-position model. The record is from RNAcentral.